This 1020-nucleotide long non-coding RNA is filed under the name Trifolium pratense (red clover). Its description in RNAcentral is "long non-coding RNA (TPRA_LNC000562)". The record is from RNAcentral. Lineage: Eukaryota; Viridiplantae; Streptophyta; Magnoliopsida; Fabales; Fabaceae.
AAAACUAUGUAACUUGUGUAAAGAAGGCUUGAGCAUUAUACAUUAUAAAUUGGCAAAAUUAUAUUCUGUUUUUUGUAUGCAAAGGAGGAAAUAUGACUAAACUUAUGAAGUUUGUUUGUGUUAUGAUCUUCUUUCUUUUCCUAUUUCAUGUUGCAACAAGUGAUGACCGCCGUAAGCUAUUUUUCAUUUUUUUGCAUUAAAAUUAUACAGUCAUGUCAUAAAGUAGUACAAUUAAUUAGGAGUACUUUUGAAAGAAUAACAUUAAAUAAAAUAUCUUUCGAUAACUCUUGUUUAUAUUUGAGUUCAAACUUUUUUGUUUGUUUUUUUUAUAAGCAAAAUUUGAAUUAUAAAGAAUAUAAGGGGUACUCAACCCUUACAAUUCAAAGACAAUCCUCUUAGAUAUUACUAAAGCAAUCUAAGGGAUUGUUACACCAGUCAGAGCAAGCUACAUUAACAUUGCUAUUUAAGCGACCUAUAAACCAAAACCAAGCAAUAUAAAUAAUUUGAUUCACCAAAAACACACAACAUCUCUCAUGGAUAUUUGUAAUGAUGCCCUUGUUGAAUAAAGUCUCUCUAGUUGGUAGUUUGUCAAGCAACAAUCUCCAACAAAAAAUACUAAUUUUCGACGGAACAUUAUUCAACCAAAGAGCCUUCAAAGCUUUCGCAAUGUUGUGCUCGCAAGCAAAAGCUUCAAACCUGUUCUGCAGCAUCUUAUACGCUGCCUUUACCAUGAAAAUUUUUGUAUAUAAAUAAGGUCGGAGCGAGUAUGCCCUUUAAUUAAUAACAUUAAUUCUUGUACGUGUUAUCUUUUUUAUUACAGGUGAGUGUUUUGGUGACAAUCAUUGUGCACAUGUUAAGUGUAAGCUUUCUUGGAUUCCGCGGUGUACUAGUACUUUUCAAUGCAAAUGUAUGGAUCCCAUCUCUCGCAUAACUUUUCUAUAAGGAAGAAUGAUUUCUUGCACCAGCAAAAGAUCUAUGAAACAUCGUUAUGAUAUAUGUCAUAUAAGUCAUUUAAUAAUC